Exaiptasia diaphana is the source of this 531-nucleotide long non-coding RNA. RefSeq lists it as uncharacterized. The transcript has 2 exons. Lineage: Eukaryota; Metazoa; Cnidaria; Anthozoa; Actiniaria; Aiptasiidae. The record is from RefSeq and is a predicted model, not a curated record.
GUYGUAAUCAAGGAUCUAACGUUCCUUAUUGGCUGAAAGUUAGUUUGCAGUUUGCGUUGAUAACUGGUCGCUUCGACAACCUUGAGUCAGUCGGUUCUCAUUUCAGGAAAAAACYACAACACUUGAUCUACACUCUYAGCACAUCGUGAACUAAAAGAUUCCUAAGAACAAUGAAAACAUUUCUUGUCAUGAUAGCCCUGGCUGGACUCCUGACCGUCUCCGUCACCAGCCGAAGUUUGUCCAAUGAGCCCUCGAUGGCUACKAACUAUGACAACUGCAUGAUGGCAUGCGAGGAUGACUUAAAAAGCUGCCGUGACAAGAACAGUGACGAUAUCGCAAAAUACUUUGAAUGCGAACCSAAAAAUAAAAGCUGUCAGGAUAAUUGUGCUUCUAAAUAGUUAUAAAGACACGGAUCAUAGAUGUUGAAUCAAAAGAAAAAAUUAAAUCUAAGAUAACCAUCUAAUCAAGUCAAUUUGGAUAAUUUUCUGAUUUUUCGCGAAAUUGAAAUUAAAAGGAUACUUAAAAGUCUAA